CCUAUACAUACGCUGCACUCAAUCAAAUCAAGGCAUUAAUUAUUGUUCACCUUGCAAUGUUAGCGAGGAUAUAACUCACUAAUUGAAACAUCAUUAAUUGACAUUUCCGAAGAUCCGCACUGAUCUGAUGACCUAUUCACUAUCCAAUUUAUCUCCGUUGCCAUGUUUGAGUCAAUGGUGGCCGGUGGCGGAUAUGCAGGUGGUGAGGGCAUUUGGAGAUGGCGAGAAGAACUAUGAAGCAUGAUAAUAACUGAAGCCAUGGUUGGUCUCUGGGUUAUAUUUUUUUGAAUGCAUAAUAAACCUAUAUGGAUUAAUCUCUGAAUUUUACUUGUUGAGCCAUCUUUCAAGUAGGGAUCUAUGAGAUUUGCGAUUGUCCCCUCCUCCCAGUUCCUCCAAGCCUGCAAAAAUAAUCGACAUUCACAUUUAUUAUCCAAGACAAUAUUUUUAAAUCUUUUCAUUUCAUCUUUUGGCGUUUUGGGCUAAAGGUGAAAUGAAAUUUAUAUGUGAAUAGUGAUCAGACUUACAAAGCUCAUAAGAUUCUCUACUUGUUUUCCAUUACGGAAACAAAUAUUUUUCCGACCACUUAUGAUCUCUAAGAGUAAUACACCAAAGCUAAAAACAUCU
This 624-nucleotide unclassified non-coding RNA is filed under the name Hevea brasiliensis (rubber tree). The record is from RNAcentral. Lineage: Eukaryota; Viridiplantae; Streptophyta; Magnoliopsida; Malpighiales; Euphorbiaceae.